UACGGAGGGGACUAGCGUUGUUCGGAAUUACUGGGCGUAAAGCGCACGUAGGCGGAUUUGUAAGUCAGGGGUGAAAUCCCGGGGCUCAACCUCGGAACUGCCUUUGAUACUGCAAAUCUCGAGUCCGGAAGAGGUGAGUGGAAUUCCUAGUGUAGAGGUGAAAUUCGUAGAUAUUAGGAAGAACACCAGUGGCGAAGGCGGCUGACUGGUCCGGUUCUGACGCUGAGGCGCGAAAGCGUGGGGAGCAAACAGG
This 253-nucleotide ribosomal RNA is filed under the name uncultured bacterium. Its description in RNAcentral is "partial 16S ribosomal RNA". It matches the Rfam family "Bacterial small subunit ribosomal RNA", at positions 524 to 776 of the family's 1533-position model. The record is from RNAcentral.